GCGUUGUCCGGAAUUAUUGGGCGUAAAGAGCUCGUAGGUGGUUUGUUACGUCCGCUGUGAAAACCUAGGGCUUAACCCUGGGCUUGCAGUGGAUACGGGCAGACUAGAGGUAGGUAGGGGAGAAUGGAAUUCCUGGUGUAGCGGUGAAAUGCGCAGAUAUCAGGAGGAACACCGGUGGCGAAGGCGGUUCUCUGGGCCUUACCUGACACUGAGGAGCGAAAGCGUG
This 226-nucleotide ribosomal RNA is filed under the name uncultured bacterium. RNAcentral's name for it is "partial 16S ribosomal RNA". It matches the Rfam family "Bacterial small subunit ribosomal RNA", at positions 538 to 763 of the family's 1533-position model. The record is from RNAcentral.